CAGGCCAAGAAAAUCACUGCCUAUUCCAACUCUUAGGGGACUAGUUCAACUAACUCAGAUAGCACUGAGAGACUCACCACACUGAAUGGAUUCCAGACAGAUAUUUGUGCCGAGUUACCAGGGCACAUCUCCCAGGAGGAGUCUUCCUCCACCCCCGUUCUUCUCAAGUGAUGAACCAGUGAUGGUCACUCCAGAGUACUGCUUGGGGAUCAGUAGAGAGCCUGCCACAGGUAGCAGCACAGGUUGUAAAAAACAAACAAACAGUUUAGGGGUCCACAGAAUGAAUGACUGAAGAGGCAUAACAGAAUAUAAUUGAAGGAACAUGAAGGACACAGGGAGACAAUCCAUGUCCACCAAUAUUGCUAUGGGAGCUUCCAAAGAAGAGUCCGCAGUAAUCGUAUGAAUCUAGGAAUCGCAUGACAUGAGAAGUAGUAAUGGCACAGACCCUAACCAUUCAUUGCUUUGGCUAACAACUGGGUAGGAAGGAAGUCUUCUGUUAGCCCCAUUCAUGUAGUUUCUUGGUUCAGACAUGAAUGAAUCUCACCAUGAGCUGCCAUCUCCUUUACGACUAACCAGACACUCUGAAUGUGCUCUGUCUUGUCUAUGCAUGCUAUGAUACCCCUAGAAAAAAUAACUAAUACAAGACAGGUGAUUCCUAAUCCUUCAAGGAAACUAUGUCAGAAAGGUCAUUUUACAAAUUAUCUUUCUAGAGGAUCUAUGCAAGUUUUAAGAGCUGUUUUUGUUUAAAUCUUACAGUUGCAUGUAGAUACUCAAAAGAAGAGUAACCCAGUGUUCUGGAACAAUAGACCCAGCACUAUCUGGGCUCAUCAACUAAUAUCAACCAAGUAAUUGUACCCAGCAUAGUUCCUCUCCACACUUCUCCAGAAUCAGGGAAUGACCAAAAUUGCUCGUCUACCUUAUUGGGCUACUGCUGCUUCCAUCAUUUGAAGGCAAAGCCAGACAGUGACGUUAGUGGGGGGCAGGGAACAACUUGUCUGGCUGAGCUAUGUGAUUAGUAUUUGCAUAUGUUUCCACUCAAGACAGAGCAAAACCAGAAUCAAAGUGUCUUUGUAACAGAUGAAUUGGUCCUGAGAACAUGCCUGAAUCUGUUGUUAAAGGCUACAUUAAAGGAAAGCUUUUUAAACUCUUAAGCAUAAGAACAUUCCACACCAACACUUAUUUCUAUACAAACACAUACAGAUUCACAUUUCAAUUCUUCUUCUCUCUUUCUGAGCUUUUCUGAGGCUGUUAAUUGGCCAUUAAUCCACUGUAUGUAUUUUCUGUUUCAUCGUAAAAUUGAGACCUGAGUUUUUCUUCUUUUUCAGUUUAUAACCUCUAGGUGGAAAUGUGGUAUAGCAGAGUAGUGUGAAUACACGAAGGAGAAUGAACUUUCUUUCACUUUUAUAAUUAAAUGCCACAUUUUACUUGCUCUAAAAAGAACUUGCCAGAAGUGCUUGUUAGACACAGAAGUAAAACUAGAGGGUCACAACAUUGUCUCACAUAAACAACUGUUAGUAGGAAAUGAUGAGAACACAAUAAAUGCAUUGUGUAGAAAAGCCCUUCAUGUCCCACUUUGAACAACCCUCAUUUGGAUGCCUUAAGAGCCUAAUACGAAUAAACCCUCUAUUCCACUCCCCCCUGCCCCCAUUCCUAAUACUGGGUUAUGGUUGCCUGUGUCACCAACACCACCAAUUUUCUAGUGUGACUAGCAGUGUGAGGAUGGGGAGGAAGGGAGAGGGAAACCAGGUUUGGGCCAGAGAUCUGACUAGGCUGUAUUACAACAUGGAUGUAAAUGCCUGAAACAGCAUGUACAUAGAAAUGUUCCUACUUCAAAUGCUUGUAAUCAUGAUCUGGAAAACUGUGCCUUCAGAUUUUGGAUUCCAGUGGGGAUGCGAAAUGGAGUGAAAAAAUAUCAGGGUGGUGGCGGGGGAAUCAUAUUAUCUUUUAAAUAUUUGUUACUUAGAGGAACUGGGAGAUGAUUGCUAUAGACAUGCUACAAACAUCAGUUUGCAAGCAUCAAAAGAAAACCACAAAGAAACCUAUCACAGAAAAUUAUGGUUUGUUUGCCUUUAACCAAUAAAUAAUAUGUCAGGGUCCACUUCAGAAUACCUAGGAAUCCAUUUAUUUUUCCACCGGAUUAAAGUGCAGGAUAAAACUGGACUAGGGCAAACAUGAGAAAUAGGUUUUAGCUUAAAUCAGGGACAAAUAGGCCACUUCCAAAUAACCCAUCAUGGUAUCUAACACUGCCAUAAUUAAUAGUGGCUUCUGGGUUUAGGCUCUUUUUUACUGGAAUAAGCAGAACAUAUGGCUUGAACGUACAUCCCUGGCCUUGCUUUGCAGUCCCUCACUAUCCCUGCAUUGCCAAAUAUGCUGCUGAAACUAGCAAAUUUGGUGGCACAUUGUGAUGGCAGCAGGAAAGGGUGUGAUUUGUGGUGGGAUGCGGGAAGGGAAUUGGGUCCAAAGCCCUGGAAGUUGCCUACCCCUAAUGCAAGGGAUGGGGACAAUCCAAAAUCAGAACGGAUUAGAACUCUUUUCACUGCAAAAUAUUGCAGAUGUGGUUUUCCCAGGUGAGGGAAAUGACCUUGACAAACCUAAUUCUGACUAGUUUACCUGAAAUUCCCUUUGAUGUUUCCUUUUGACUGAUCAGCUGGCUCUGCUUUCCAUGUGAUUGCCACUAAACAGCUCUAGUGAACUGCCAUGGGCUUCACUGUGCAGCAAACAAGGUAUAUAAUGAAGCCCUCAGGCUAUGACGAUUAUGAAUUUGUCUCCGGGGAUCAUGCUUCUGGCAUAUUUGGGACAGAAUAAUGAAGCUGAAUAACUCAGGGCUGUGCCAUAUGAUGACCUAUUUACUAUGGGGAAACAUUGAUUUCUGGGGUGGUGGGUACUGAAGCCUUGCUAAUGUGGCUUCCUGAUUGCUUUACUGAUUGCUUUACUUUGUACCAGGUUCUGCUGCAUCAGGAAGCAUGAUCCUGUAAAAUGUCUGCAUUUGG
Molecule: long non-coding RNA, 2990 nt
Organism: Varanus komodoensis (Komodo dragon)
Lineage: Eukaryota; Metazoa; Chordata; Lepidosauria; Squamata; Varanidae
Exons: 3
Source: RefSeq, a predicted model, not a curated record